Molecule: long non-coding RNA, 429 nt
Filed under: Canis lupus familiaris (dog)
Lineage: Eukaryota; Metazoa; Chordata; Mammalia; Carnivora; Canidae
Description: lncRNA (ENSCAFG00000057116.1)
Source: RNAcentral
CGGCGGGCGCGCGCAUCCCGGGCCCGGCCUGGCGGCGGAGUCGUGCUGCGGGGCGAGGCUGCGGGCGGCGGGGCUGGAGGAGAGGUCCGCGCCGCGCGCCGCUGCUAUCAUUGUGUCCCAGUGAGACUGUGGCGGCUGCCAGGAGGUUGGUUAUUCCACUUUGCCCUGCGUCUACUCCAUAGGUUGAUUAGCCUCUCAGAAAGACCAGAAAGUUGACAGCAAUAGGCGGAUCCGGUUGCUAGGUUUUGUCUCAAAUAAUAUUCGUUGUGAAUUUUUUUUUGUAAGUCUGAAAAAAAACCGUUCAUGAUUUUAGGCGUAAAAUGCAUAUCUCACAUACAUAAAUCUGCAUUCCGAUGUUUAAAUUGAGUCCGGUGCCUGUGCUCCUAAAAGUUGUUGGAACCACUAGAGCCACUGAAAUUCAGUUUUACU